Tachysurus fulvidraco (yellow catfish) is the source of this 4668-nucleotide long non-coding RNA. RefSeq lists it as uncharacterized. Lineage: Eukaryota; Metazoa; Chordata; Actinopteri; Siluriformes; Bagridae. The transcript is spliced from 2 exons. The record is from RefSeq and is a predicted model, not a curated record.
UGUACCACUUUUUGUUGGGUAGGUCAUGUAGGCGAAAAACCUGCAAAAAGGGGGCGAGGUCCUGAAGAGGUUAAGUUCCCCCAGCAUAUCGUCAAUACCACCUUGAGACCUAACAUUGUCUUGGUAUCUGAGGCAACAAAGAACCUGGUCAUGUUGGAACUCACUGUGCCAUGGGAGGAUCGAAUGGAGGAAGCUUUUGAACGGAAGAGGGCGAAAUAUGAAGGCCCCAUCAACGACUGCCAUAAGCAAGGCUGGAAGGCAAGGUGCUUACCUGUGGAGGUGGGGUGCAGAGGCUUUGCAGGGCAGUCCCUCUACAGGGCCUAUACUGCACUCGGCAUCACGGGUGAGAGAAGAAGAAGGGCUAUCUGCAAUAGCACAGAGGCUGCAGAGAAGUCUUUGAGGUGGCUCUGGAUAAAAAGAGAAAAGCCGUGGACAAAUGCUGCUAGGGCACAAGCUGAGGCUUGAUCAACCUCAGUUGGGUCACCUGAAGGAGUGUGUCUGAUGAUUCGAAAGACCAGAAAAACAAUGAGAUCAGGAACAUCACUGAUGAUGUGCCCUAGCUUAGCAUCAGUUGAUGCAUCAUUACAAAUGUGAUCAUAAAGUGACUGCUCCAACCCGUCGCCAUAGAACAAUUAAUUCUUCAACCAUUUAAUCAUUCUCAGAGGCUUUUAAUGCUAUUGACGAUGACUUCAAGGUCUUUAUACGGCCUUAACACUGAAGAUUUUACUUCUUUGUUCUCUUCAAUUUGUCUUCAUAUCUUGGAUACUGUGGCUCCUUUUAAGAUGGUUCGAGCAAAACCUAGAACUCAACCAUGGCUGAGCGCUAUGAUUCGAACUGUAAGGCUCGAGUGUAGAAGGGCGGAACGCCACUGGAAGAAGGAUAAAUUGCAGAUUUCCUUUGAUAUUUUAAAGGAGAAUCUGCUUAAAGACCAAAAAACUAAUCUGAAAAAUCUGAGAAAAUCUGUUAAAUCUGAGAAAUCAAAGUAUCUUUCUAGUGUCAUCUGUAAUAACUCCAACAAGGCAGUUGUGCUAUUUAGUACAAUUAACUCUGUUUUAAACACUCCCCAAGCAGCCUGCCUAGAGCCUUCAGCUGAGAUGUGAGAAACUUUUAGACUUUUACAUUGACAAGAUUGAGGCUGUUCGAGCUAAUAUUUUGCUCCCUUCAACUUUUUCAUCCAUUUCCACUGAGUGCUCUGCUGUUUUUGAUCAGUUUGAGUUGGUGUCUCUUGAUUCACUGAAAGAGACCUCUGUUAAAAUGAAACCAUCCUCAUGUGGUAUGGAUGUUGUCCCUCUCCGUCUUCUUAAAGAUUAAUUUGAAACCAUUAGUCCUAAAAUUCUUGCUAUUAUCAAUAGCAGCCUGGCUUUAGGAGUUGUACCUAAAUCUUUUAAACAUGCUGCUGUGGAACCAGUAGUCAAGAAACCUAAUUUGGACCCAUCAGUUUUUGCUCAUUAUAGACCUAUCUCAAAACUCCCAUUUCUAUCCAAACUAUUGGAGAAGGUUGUAUUUGGACAAUUGAACUAAUUUUUAGAUUUACAUGGUAUUCAUGAAGUAUUUCAGUCUAGUUUUAAAGCACUAAACAUCACAGAAACUGUACUAUUGAAGGUUUUUAAUGACUUACUACUUGUCGCUGACUGUGCUUAAUCUUAAUUUUACUGGACCUUUUGGCUGCAUUUGAUAAAGUUGAUCAUAAUAUCUUGAUUUCAUGACUCGAACAAUGUGUUGGUAUUAAGGGUACUGCAUUGGAAUGGUUUAAAUCCUAUUUGGAAGAACUUUUUUGGUUCAUCUUGGGGUCCCCCAGGGUUCCAUUUUGGGGCCUAUUCUGUUCUCCCUGUAUAUGCUCCCUUUGGGGCAUAUUUUUAGGAAAUUUGGUAUUUCUUCAUUGUUAUGCAGAUGACCUGCAAAUUUAUCUGCCCUUGAAACGUAAAGAUACCUGCGCUCUAUUGCCUCUAAUGCAGUGUUUUGAAGAAAUUAAGACCUGGAUGGCACUAAAUUUCCUCAAUUUUAAUGAAAACAAAAAACAGAAGUGGUGUUGUUUUACGCCACGGGGAACAUGUGAGUCAUUAGACCUAAACCUAAGUAAGCUGAAUCCAUAUGUGAAGCCCUUUGUAAAAAAAAUUGGGCGUUGUUAUGGAUUGUGGUUUUAAAUUGGAAAACAGAUUAAUUUAGUAGUUAAAUCAUGUUUUUUCCAAUUGAUACAACUCACCAAGGUGAACCCUUUCCUGUCCUCUAAGGACUUUCAAAGAGUUGUGCAUAUUUUCAUCUCAAAUCGCCUUGAUUACUGUAAUAGCCUUUAUUUAGGUAUUAAUCAGGCCUAUCUCUCCAGACUGCAAAUGGUCCAGAAUGCGGCAGCCGCCUAUUGAUGGGCACGAAAGCGGGAACAUAUCUCUCCCAUUCUCACGUCUCUUCACGGGCUUCCUGUCUAUUAUAUAUAAUUUUAAAAUAUUGGUGCUUGUUUUUAAAUCUCUUAAUGUGUCAGCGCCAAGUUACUUAUCAGAUUUGAUUAAUCUGUAUGCUCUGUCAAGAGCACUAAGGUCUGCUGAUCAUUUGCUUUUAGCUGUUCCAAGAGUAAAACUGAGGAGCAGGGGGGACCGAGCGAGGUCUUCAAAUCUGGCCUAAAAACAUAUUUUUACUUUGUGGCAUUCGAUGCCAUGUGAGAGCUGCUAUCUUUUAUUGUUUUGUUGUGUCUUGUGUUUUUCUUUUAUUUGUGUGUUUGUAUUAAUAAAUCCUGUUUCCUCUUUGUAUGUACAGCACUUUGACAAACACUUGUUUCUAAAAAAAAAAGUGCUUUAUAAAUAAACUUGACUGACUUUGACUGCAGAGAAUGCCCCCUCGGGGAGUGGCCGGGGGUGUUCUUACAUAUGUAUACCUCAUGAGUCCUCCAUUCACUGUGCUGGACAUGAUCUAGCACUGAAACAGUCUGAACAUUUGUUAAUCAGACAAGUAUUUAGAAGGAUUCGGCCAUUUUUGUUCACACAGACUGCUCAGGUACUUGUUCAGUCUCUUGUCAUUUCAAGACUGGAUUACGGCAGCGCAUUGCUGGCAGGUCUACAUAUGAACACAAUCCAUCCUCUGCAAAUGAUCCAAAAUGCAGCUCCCUGGCUUGUUUUUAACCUGCCAAAGUUCUCCACAACACCCCGCUGCUGUGAUCCCUCCAGUGGCUUCCGGUAGCGGUAUGCAUCAGAUUCAAAACACUGAUGCUGGCCUACAAAGCCAAAAAUGGACCAGGUCCCUCUUACCUCAAAGCCCUCAUCACACCUCAAAAAGGGAGACUGAAAUGACUCAUUAUUAGCCAUUUGAGAGAACUAAUUAGCAUAAUCCAACAGUCACAUCCAAGCAACACUACAUAAUCAACAAUACUUUACAACACAGCUCUACUUGUGACAACAAUCUAGACUCAAAUGAAACAAGUAAAUAGUACACAAUCCUAGUCAGAGUCCUAUCUUACCAGUAGAGAAUACAUUCAAAGCAACCAAACUCAUUCACACCUCAUAACACAUCACCCCCCCACUCCAACUUCUGCUCUCUCUCUCUUCCCCCUCUAAUCAACCUUAGCACAGAGGAGAAUGUUCCCCCACCCAUGAUCACUGCAGCUCAGGUGUGCAGAGAACUGAGGAGCCUUUGUCCCAGCAAAGCAACUGGUCCAGAUGGAGUAUCACCAUGACUACUGAAGGUCUGCUCGUUGUUGCUGGGAGACCCUCUAAAGCAUAACUUUAACCUGAAUGGGGAACAGGAGAGGGUCUCUGCUCCAUGGUCUUCAUUAUUUGUGAUGUCGACCAUGGAGCAGGUGCUACUACACCACAUGAAGCCACAAGUCUGCCAUGCCCUUGAGCCUCUGCAGUUUGCAUAUGAGGAGAAGGUGGGAUUUGAGCCCACUCCCAUCUUGUGGCAUGGAUUACGGACUACCUGACACGCAGACUUCAGUACGUGCAACUGGGAGACUGCAGGUCUGACUUGGUGCUCAGCCGUAUGGGAGUGCCACAAUGGACUGUGCUCUCUCCGGCCCUGUUAACCCUGUACACCUUAGACUUCCAAUAUACCUCGGAGUCCAGCCACAUGCAAAAGAGGAGGAGGAGUACUUGGAACUGAUCCAGGACUUUGAUGCAGGGUUUCAGACUCUAAGAACUAGUCACAUCAGCCCUGCUCUGAUUAAGACUGAAAUGGAUCAGGGAGAGCAGAACUGAGCCACACAAUAAUAUAAAGAUCAGUGAAGUGAGAGAGAGAUUUACAUGAAGACGGCUGAGUGAUCCUCUUUCUCCCAGAAUAGAGCAGCAUUUCACCAGAUGUUCAACUUUCUUCAUCCAAACUCACUGAAGCACAACACACAGCCCUGAAUCUACAGCUAAACACACUCUCUCCUCACACUGAUAAUGACUAUUAACUCCAAGAAAAGAACACACAAUGUCCAAAAUGAAGCUUUAUUUCAGCAGAGCAAAACUACAGGAAGAGCAACAGGACAGUGGAGAGAGUAAAGACAGAAAUGUCAGCAUUGUGUAGAACUAUAACUCUAUUGUAGAUGGAUGUGGAAGCAGCUCAGUGUUCAGUUCUAUCUUGGAGCUGUUCGCCUUAACACUGGCUCUUUCUGAACGUGACCGGAUGAUCCACGCCCUCGUGGGAGACCGUACAGACAAACUCCUCCCCCUUUUCCCAGAGUGCUUGGCUGAGGGUCAG